Molecule: ribosomal RNA, 253 nt
Filed under: uncultured bacterium
Lineage: Bacteria
Description: partial 16S ribosomal RNA
Rfam family: Bacterial small subunit ribosomal RNA
Source: RNAcentral
UACGUAGGGGGCAAGCGUUGUCCGGAAUCAUUGGGCGUAAAGCGCGUGUAGGCGGCCCGAUAAGUCCGCUGUGAAAGUCCAGGGCUCAACCCUGGGAUGCCGGUGGAUACUGUCGGGCUCGAGUCCGGAAGAGGAGUGUGGAAUUCCUGGUGUAGCGGUGAAAUGCGCAGAUAUCUGGAGGAACACCGGUGGCGAAGGCGGCAUCCUGGACCAAUAUUGACGCUGAGGAGCGAAAGCCAGGGGAGCAAACGGG